AUGAAUAAUGCGCCCGAUCACCCCUUUCAACAAGGGGGUAAUCCAGAGCAGGGGUGUUCCAGCAAUUCAUCACAGCCGCAUAUAAUUGUCAGAAAUAAAUUUAAUAACGUUCAAAUUAGAGAAAUUUUGAAUUUCCCUCCUCCAAACGAUAUACCUGAUUACGCCCGAUAUUAUGAAGGUAUAAUGGCCGGGGCCCGUGAAAUUUCAGACAGGAUUUUCUCACAUGCACGUCCAGGUGAUCUUAUACAAUUAGAGUUGAUAGGGCCUCAGUUGCAGAAUAAUGUUUCAGUCAUUUUAAGGGACAAUUGUGAUUUAAGUGAAUUUGAAAAUCUGUUCCUGAGAACCGUUCAGUCAAAUUGGUCCGUUAUGUGUGAAGGCUCGCUCGAGCUUGUAGCUCAGAUCGUUAGACCCCCAUCCGGUAGUGGAAAAAGGAUGCUUAAACACAUACUUGACAAUGAAAUUGUCAGAAAGAAAAGGCGCUUUUUAUAUAUUGUUCAUAACCCCGCAAAUAAGUUAUGUUUUGCUAUAAGCCUUGCCCACCUUCUGCACCCUGAUUUUAACGAUCAACAAGCAGAGGUUUUCGGUAGAGAAAUUCAGCAAAAAGCUGGUCUAAAUGAUCAAACGCCUGUCGGCUUUAAUCAGAUUAUUACAUUUGAAAGGUUACUCGGAUGUAAAAUUAUAGUAUUUUACCGCAACGAAAACGAUCGCAGCCUUUGUAAAUUUCAAACUAGUACACCCAAUACAGAAAAAACCCUUUGUUUAUUUUUAUUUGAGAAUCAUUACUAUGCUAUCAAAAAUCUAAAAGGGUUUAUGGGUACAUCCUAUCUCUGUAAUCAUUGUUAUAUCGGGUACAACCAUGUGUUAUCACACUUCUGUCCUGCUCGCUGUUCAGUCUGUAUGAAGCCAGACUGUAGCCAAUAUUCCAUCUCUCCUGUUGUAUGUAGCGACUGUAAUCGCACCUGCCGUUCUUCCUAUUGUUUCGAGAGCCAUAAAAAACUCCUGCAGAGGCGUGAAAGACUCGCCAGCAACUGUCAGCUCUAUAAAAAAUGUGUCAAGUGUUCCAGACUUUAUUAUUUAGCAGCAAACAAAAAACCUCACAAAUGUCAAAACAGGAAAUGCCCAAUCUGUCACCAGGAAAUCUCCACUGAUCAGCAAACGCAUCAGUGCUACAUGCAGGUUUUAGAACGCGAGACAAAACACAACAACAAGUUGAUUUUUUACGAUUUUGAAACGUUUGUAAAUGAAAGCGGUGAGCACACUCCUUUUCUGGUUUGUACGAAAACUUCAGACGGUAAAUCCUGGAACUGUGUUGGGGAGGACUGUGCAGAAAAGUUUCUCGCUCAUUUUAGACGUCCACUCUUUAAGGGCUGUAUUUUUAUCGCCCAUAAUGCAAAAGGUUUUGACGGGUACCUUAUUUUAUCCCGAAUGGCUAAACAACGCUUAAAACCACAUUUAAUUAUGCAAGGAUCCAAAGUGAUCAGUUUUACAGACUCAGACUAUAAUCAACGAUACAUGGAUUCAAGCUGCUUUCUCCCUAUGCCCCUGUCAGGUAUCCCAAAAGCAAUGGGAUUUUCAGACAGCGUAAAGGGUUUCUUUCCUCACUCUUUCAGUUCCAGAGAAACUCUAAAAUAUGUAGGCCCCUACCCUCCACCCUCAGCUUACAGCAUAGAGAGAAUGACAACAAAAGGCAGGGAUGAUUUUUACAAAUGGUAUGAUUCAGUCAGCUCCGGUACCUUCAAUUUCAUGAAAGAGGCCCUGUUAUACUGCGAAAACGAUGUUGAGAUUCUAGCUGAGGGCUGCAAAUUGUUUAGAAACGGGUUUAUUGAAGAAACAGGAGUAGAUCCUUUCAGCCGCAACACGCUUGCAAGUGCCUGCCUGAAAACUUUUUUAACAAACUUCAUGCCAGCCAAUUCUUUAGCAAUACCAUGUCCCUUAAAUUACUGUAAUCAGGUCAAAUCAUUUUCCUCUGCCUCAAUUCAAUGGCUAGAAUAUCUCUCGUACACGCAAGGUGUUUUUAUCAGACAUGCGCUAAAUCAAGGAGAAAAAAAGCUGGGUAGUUAUUAUUUAGAUGGAUAUGCCCUAAUUAAUAAUAAACCAUAUGUCUGGGAAUUUUUGGGUUGUUACUUUCAUGGGUGUGUUAAGUGUUUUUCAAAUCAGGCCGACAUUAAUCCCUUGUUAGACCUAACUUUUGCAGAGCUAAACAGCCGCACUGAAGAAAAACUGGUUAAAUUGAGAACUGAACAUAACGUGUGUCUUGUUACAAUCUGGGAGCAUGAGUGGACCGAAUUGAAACGUACUGAUGUGAGUGUAAUCAACUUCCUCAAACAUUACGAACCGCCAGAACCUUUGAACCCCCGUCAUGCCCUCUUUGGAGGGCGUACAAGCCCUGCACAGCUGUGCUGCAGUGCAGGCCCUGGGGAGAGAAUCGGUUAUGUGGAUGUUACCUCGCUGUAUCCGUUUGUAAAUAGCACCUGUAGUUACCCCUUAGGACAUCCUCAAAUAAUCUUUCCAAAUUUUCAGCACCCUAAAAACUACUUUGGGUUUAUCAAAGCGGUUGUAUACCCACCCAGAGCACUCUAUUUUCCAGUUUUACCCUAUAAAACUAAGUCAGGAAAGCUUCUCUUUACCCUCUGCCGCACCUGUGCCGAAAUGAACAACCAACAGGGGGCGUGUAACCAUAGCAACGAGGAGAGAGCCCUCAAAGGGGUUUGGACCACUGUAGAAUUUAAUCUUGCAUUAGAAAAGGGGUAUCAAAUAAGUAGAAUCACCGAGGUGUGGCACUUUGAGAAACAGAGUAACACAAUAUUCACAGACUAUGUACAUCAUUUCCUGCGCAAAAAACAAGAAGCUUCAGGCUACCCAUCAGAUGUUGUAACUGAGGAGGAUAAACAGCUUUACAUUAAAGACUACCAGGCUAAGCAAGGCAUCACUUUAGACCCUGAAAACAUAAAACUAAACCCAGCUAAAUGA
Oreochromis niloticus (Nile tilapia) is the source of this 2970-nucleotide long non-coding RNA. Lineage: Eukaryota; Metazoa; Chordata; Actinopteri; Cichliformes; Cichlidae. The record is from Ensembl.